This 29-nucleotide ribosomal RNA is filed under the name Enterocytozoon bieneusi. Its description in RNAcentral is "partial large subunit ribosomal RNA". Lineage: Eukaryota; Fungi; Microsporidia; Enterocytozoonidae. The record is from RNAcentral.
CAGUAGGGUGCCAUCAAGAGGUGUAUUUG